RNAcentral lists this unclassified non-coding RNA (1129 nucleotides) under Hevea brasiliensis (rubber tree). Lineage: Eukaryota; Viridiplantae; Streptophyta; Magnoliopsida; Malpighiales; Euphorbiaceae. The record is from RNAcentral.
CAAAAUUUUUAUGUACUAAAUUAUUAAAUUAUAACUUAUUUUAAUUGCAUAAGCUAUAUUACAAGCUAACUCUAACAAAAAUUUUAGUAAAAUUCCGAGAAUCUCUAUCACAAAUCUUUUAUCUUCGACAAUGUUAAUAUUUCUAAUAAUCAUAAAAUCUAGGAAUAAACUUUUCUAUUUCAUAAAAACAAGUCAAAAUGAAUCUUGAUCAUCUCUACAAUAGCAUAAUGAUGCCGCCACCACCACCAGCUCUGCUACUGCAGCUAUCAUCUGCUGUAACAUUCAAAAUAUCCACCAGCGACAGCAGCACCUACAACCGUUUUGGUAAUUUCCUCUCUAGUUUUAGAGGUCCACAGAUUUUCUUUCUCACUCUUAUUGGUUGGAAGGGAAGAAAGAAGAUCAUCCAUUCCAUCAAUUAGGGCCCACAAUUUUGUUUUUCAUUGGUGUAGGAAAGUGGAACAUAAAUUAUAUUUUAAUAGUAAAUUUUAAAAUUCCAUUCUUUAGUUUGAAUAAAAUAUGGACAAAGAAAAUAUGCAAUCAAUAAGGGUAUAUUAGUAAUUACACAUUGGAUCAUUGAUAAAAUUCCAUCCAUUCUAUCCUCCUUCCCUCCUUACCAAUCCUUCCUAUUUUCUUUCCUCUCAACCAAACAGAGCAUUAACAAAAGAACCUAUAAACAGCUUUUAGAGGCCAACAGUUUUUCCUUUAAGCUCUUAAACACACCCCAAAUAAGCAUUUCACUUGCACCUAUUUUAUUUUAUUUUAUUUUUCAAAUCCAGCAAACCCAUUUUCAUGCACAUAUUAACAAUUGACACCAUGCAUCCCUUCAAACCAAUUAAUUGCUGGGAAAGUAUGAUUUUGUAAACUAAUCUAAGCAACAAACACCUUUUUGAGAAAACAUUUCAAAGAUAACUACAAUCAAUGAUAAAAUUUACACUCUGGAAAAUCGGAACCUGUGAAAAUGUUAUACAAGAAAUGUUGACCAUAAUCAUACUCUCAAUGUUAUAAAUUGUAUGUGCAGAAUGUAAUAAUAGUAAUGAAGACAUUAACAAGGACAUGAUAAUUGAUAAAAACUCAUUGUUAUAACCCUUUUUUUUAUCCAGAAAAAAAUUGAAGCAUUUUGUAGAACCUU